Molecule: long non-coding RNA, 661 nt
Filed under: Malus domestica (apple)
Lineage: Eukaryota; Viridiplantae; Streptophyta; Magnoliopsida; Rosales; Rosaceae
Description: long non-coding RNA (MDOM_LNC008924)
Source: RNAcentral
AAGGAUGCUGGUCGCGCCAACACAGAUCAGCCAUCCCUCUGUUUUUGUUUCACUUUUCUUCGUUUAUUUCGUUAAGCAUAUUUUCCAGCCACUGAAAUAAAACAGUUGUUUUCCCACCCAAAUUUGGCAUAUUAUUAUGUUUUUGUGUUUUCUUUAUACAAAUUUGGGCUUAAAACCUCCACGCUUGUUAUUUGUUAAACCACAAUUGAUGCACGUACAUUUAGUGUCCAACAAACAAGGGAUUUUAUACUCCAAAUAGUUUUGUCAUUAAUUAAUUUAUUCCACGCUUGAUCAUCCUUGUUAUGCUCAGGGACAUAUCAAUAGAGUCCUAACAUUAUCCCACUUGAAUUAUCAUUGAUCAUAUCCUUCAUCAACAUAUUGAAUCAAAUUAAUCCCUUAGUGAUCACUUUUGGACAACAUAACCAUUAAUCCCUUUGCAUAUCUGCCAUAAACUAUUUCAAAGAAAUAAACCUUAGAAAAUCUUGUACAUCAAUACAAGCACCCUAAGACCACAUUUCCCAAAAUAACUUAUGCGUGAUGCAAAUACCGAAAAAAAUUUAAAGUUUGUUUCCAAGCUCCCACUGAUCAGAGCAGUCCACCAUUGUCAAGCUUUUGUUUAGUCUGAAUCUUUCAUCAGUCCACAACAUUUCAAUUAGGGGUG